This 492-nucleotide ribosomal RNA is filed under the name uncultured bacterium. RNAcentral's name for it is "partial 16S ribosomal RNA". It matches the Rfam family "Bacterial small subunit ribosomal RNA", at positions 29 to 507 of the family's 1533-position model. The record is from RNAcentral.
AGUGAACGCUGGCGGUAGGCCUAACACAUGCAAGUCGAACGGCAGCACAGUAAGAGCUUGCUCUUACGGGUGGCGAGUGGCGGACGGGUGAGGAAUACAUCGGAAUCUACUUUUUCGUGGGGGAUAACGUAGGGAAACUUACGCUAAUACCGCAUACGACCUACGGGUGAAAGCAGGGGAUCUUCGGACCUUGCGCGAUUGAAUGAGCCGAUGUCGGAUUAGCUAGUUGGCGGGGUAAAGGCCCACCAAGGCGACGAUCCGUAGCUGGUCUGAGGGGAUGAUCAGCCACACUGGAACUGAGACACGGUCCAGACUCCUACGGGAGGCAGCAGUGGGGAAUAUUGGACAAUGGGCGCAAGCCUGAUCCAGCCAUACCGCGUGGGUGAAGAAGGCCUUCGGGUUGUAAAGCCCUUUUGUUGGGAAAGAAAAGCAGCAGGUUAAUACCCCGCUGUUCUGACGGUACCCAAAGAAUAAGCACCGGCCAACUUCGUG